UCUGGCCCCAGGCCCGAGUUUGUMAUUGUGCAGAGGAUGCUUUUGGUGCGGUGCCUUCCAAAGUUCCCUAGAACGGGACGCCAGAAGAUGGGUGAGAGCCCCGUACAGUUGGACACCAAGCCUUUGUAAAGCUCCUUCGACGAGUCGAGUAGUUUGGGAAUGCUGCUCAAAAUGGGAGGUAUAUUUCUUCUAAAGCUAAAUACCGGCCAGAGACCGAUAGCGCACAAGUAGAGUGAUCGAAAGAUGAAAAGCACUUUGAAAAGAGGGUUAAACAGCACAGUGAAAUUGUUAAAAGGGAAGCGCUUGUGACCAGACAUUGCGUCCGGUGAAUCACCCAGCUCUCGCGGCUGGGGCACUUCGCCGGCUCAGGCCACGCAUCAGCUCGCUGUCGGGGACACAAAGCUUCAGGAACGUAGCUCUCUCCGGGGAGUGUUAUAGCCUAGUUGCACAAUACCCU
This 457-nucleotide ribosomal RNA is filed under the name Colletotrichum gloeosporioides. Its description in RNAcentral is "eukaryotic LSU rRNA". It matches the Rfam family "Eukaryotic large subunit ribosomal RNA", at positions 123 to 520 of the family's 3401-position model. The record is from RNAcentral. Lineage: Eukaryota; Fungi; Ascomycota; Sordariomycetes; Glomerellales; Glomerellaceae.